Molecule: ribosomal RNA, 457 nt
Filed under: uncultured bacterium
Lineage: Bacteria
Description: bacterial SSU rRNA
Rfam family: Bacterial small subunit ribosomal RNA
Source: RNAcentral
GCCAGACUCCUACGGGAGGCAGCAGUGAGGAAUAUUGGUCAAUGGGCUUACGCCUGAACCAGCCAAGUCGCGUGAGGGAAGACUGCCCUAUGGGUUGUAAACCUCUUUUGUCAGGGAGCAAUUGGCGCUACGUGUAGCGUUAUCGAGAGUACCUGAAGAAAAAGCAUCGGCUAACUCCGUGCCAGCAGCCGCGGUAAUACGGAGGAUGCGAGCGUUAUCCGGAUUUAUUGGGUUUAAAGGGGGCGCAGGCGGCGUGUCAAGUCAGCGGUAAAAUGUCGGGGCUCAACCCCGGCCGGCCGGUGAAACUGGGGGCCUUGAGUGGGCGAGAAGAAGGCGGAAUGCGUGGUGUAGCGGUGAAAUGCAUAGAUAUCACGCAGAACUCCGAUUGCGAAGGCAGCAUACCGGCGCCCAACUGACGCUGAAGCUCGAAGGCGCGGGUAUCGAACAGGAGUAGAGA